UCUUCCCGAAUCUGUUUCUUCUCCACGAAACUGUUCGCGCGCCCCUUCUUCUCUGUCGCCGACUCCUUGCCCUAAUCGCCGACGCCCCCUCCUCACUGCCGCCGUGACGCCAAGCGCUACUGCACAGAGCCGGCGCCACCGCCGGCCACCCCGUGCCCUAGCCGAGCUUCCUCCUGCCGAGGCUGCGCCCUAGCAUCCUCUCCCGCCACCACAGCGCCGCCGCCGAGGACUCGGCUCAAGUCUCUGCCCCAAUCUCCAGCAACGCCGUCCCUCUGCCCUACUGUUGCCUGCCAAUUUUUCCUCUUGUGCCGAUCAUCACCGUGCCCUUGCUAGUAGCCGGCGUCGCCCGGAGCAGUGCUGCUCCUCACUGUGCCGCCUCUCCUCUGUUCUUGAGCAAUCUUUCGUUGUGGUGGAAUUAGGUCACGGUUAAGCACUCAAACCAGCAUCACUAGUGGGUUGGAUCAAGAGCAGAGGUUUGAAUCAAGGGCUCUGAUUCGAGACGGUAUCUCGACGUCGGAUUGGACAUUUCUUAUUGGAGG
Molecule: long non-coding RNA, 539 nt
Organism: Zingiber officinale
Lineage: Eukaryota; Viridiplantae; Streptophyta; Magnoliopsida; Zingiberales; Zingiberaceae
Exons: 3
Source: RefSeq, a predicted model, not a curated record